GCCGGAGUGGCGGAAUCGGUAGACGCGCUGGAUUCAAAAUCCAGUUGGGGCAACUCAGUGAGAGUUCGAGUCUCUCCUCCGGCA
This 84-nucleotide transfer RNA is filed under the name Bdellovibrionales bacterium. Its description in RNAcentral is "tRNA-Leu". It matches the Rfam family "tRNA". From Rfam's summary of the family: Transfer RNA (tRNA) molecules are approximately 80 nucleotides in length. Their secondary structure includes four short double-helical elements and three loops (D, anti-codon, and T loops). The record is from RNAcentral. Lineage: Bacteria; Pseudomonadati; Bdellovibrionota; Bdellovibrionia; Bdellovibrionales.